Molecule: ribosomal RNA, 456 nt
Filed under: uncultured organism
Description: bacterial SSU rRNA
Rfam family: Bacterial small subunit ribosomal RNA
Source: RNAcentral
GAUGAACGCUGGCGGCGUGCCUAACACAUGCAAGUCGUACGAGCUCGAUCUUCGGAACGGGUUAGUGGCGCACGGGUGAGUAACACGUAGGUGACCUACCCCAGAGUGGGGGAUAACUUCUCGAAAGAGAGGCUAAUACCGCAUACACUCGGUCAUUCAUUUGGCCGAGCAAAGCUCCGGCGCUUUGGGACGGGCCUGCGUCCGAUUAGCUAGUUGGUAGGGUAAUGGCUUACCAAGGCUUUGAUCGGUAGCUGGUCUGAGAGGACGAUCAGCCACACUGGCACUGACACACGGGCCAGACUCCUACGGGAGGCAGCAGUGAGGAAUAUUGGGCAAUGGGCGAAAGCCUGACCCAGCAACGCCGCGUGAGGGAUGAAGGCCUUCGGGUUGUAAACCUCUUUUCUGGGAGAAGAGACAAGGACGGUAUCCCAGGAAUAAGUCUCGGCUAACUACGUG